UGCAUGGCUGUCGUCAGCUCGUGUCGUGAGAUGUAGGGUUAAGUCCCGCAACGAGCGCAACCCUCGACUUAGUUACCAUCAUUAAGUUGGGUACUUAAAGUAACCGCCGGUGAUAAGCCGGAGGAAGGUGGGGAUGACGUCAAGUCCUCAUGGCCCUUACGCGCUGGGCUACACACGUGCUACAAUGGCAAGUACAGUGGGCAGCAAUCCCGCGAGGGUGAGCUAAUCUCCAAAACUUGUCUCAGUUCGGAUUGUUCUCUGCAACUCGAGAGCAUGAAGGCGGAAUCGCUAGUAAUCGCGGAUCAGCAUGCCGCGGUGAAUACGUUCCCAGGCCUU
RNAcentral lists this ribosomal RNA (336 nucleotides) under uncultured Sphingomonas sp. RNAcentral's name for it is "bacterial SSU rRNA". It matches the Rfam family "Bacterial small subunit ribosomal RNA", at positions 1042 to 1382 of the family's 1533-position model. Lineage: Bacteria; Pseudomonadati; Pseudomonadota; Alphaproteobacteria; Sphingomonadales; Sphingomonadaceae. The record is from RNAcentral.